RNAcentral lists this ribosomal RNA (392 nucleotides) under uncultured bacterium. Its description in RNAcentral is "partial 16S ribosomal RNA". It matches the Rfam family "Bacterial small subunit ribosomal RNA", at positions 523 to 918 of the family's 1533-position model. The record is from RNAcentral.
AUACGGAGGAUCCGAGCGUUAUCCGGAUUUAUUGGGUUUAAAGGGUGCGCAGGCGGCCAUUUAAGUCAGCGGUUAAAUCGUGGGGCUCAACCCCAUUCUGCCGUUGAUACUGGGUGGCUUGAUUGCGGUCGAGGUUGGCGGAAUUCGUUGUGUAGCGGUGAAAUGCAUAGAUAUGACGAAGAACACCGAUUGCGUAGGCAGCUGACCAGACCGCAAAUGACGCUCAUGCACGAAAGUGCGGGGAUCGAACAGGAUUAGAUACCCUGGUAGUCCGCACAGUAAACGAUGAAUACUUGUUUUCGGCGAUAUAAUGUCGGAGGCAAAGCGAAAGCGAUAAGUAUUCCACCUGGGGAGUACGGCCGCAAGGUUGAAACUCAAAUGAAUUGACGGGG